This 119-nucleotide ribosomal RNA is filed under the name Promethearchaeota archaeon. The record is from RNAcentral. Lineage: Archaea; Promethearchaeati; Promethearchaeota.
UACCUCAUGUAUAGCAUUUAGCUUAACGCCGGAACCAUCCGAACCCGGAAGUUAAACUCGAUAGCGUUGGCAAUAGUACUGUAGUUAUUGUCUAUGGGAAAUGCCAAACUGUGAGUUCG